Molecule: small RNA, 584 nt
Filed under: Pongo abelii (Sumatran orangutan)
Lineage: Eukaryota; Metazoa; Chordata; Mammalia; Primates; Hominidae
Description: retained intron
Source: RNAcentral
AGCCAGCGGCUCUGAGCCAGCUGGGCAGCCACGGUGAGGCUGGAGUUCUGCAGCGGGAGGCGCAGUGGCAGCUGGGAGCGGCUGCUCACCCGGCCUCUGCCCCCAGAGCAGCUCGUGCUGGGUGCCUCACAGGAGCCGGUGGGCCGCUGGGACCGGGACUAUGACAGGGCCGUGCUGCCACUGCUGGACGCCCAGCAGCCCUGCUACCUGCUGUACCGCCUCGACUCACAGAAUGCUCAGGGCUUCGAAUGGCUCUUCCUCGCCUGGUCGCCUGAUAACUCCCCCGUGCGGCUGAAGAUGCUGUACGCGGCCACACGGGCCACAGUGAAAAAGGAGUUUGGAGGUGGCCACAUCAAGGAUGAGCUCUUCGGGACUGUGAAGGAUGACCUCUCUUUUGCUGGGUACCAGAAACACCUGUCAUCCUGUGCAGCACCUGCCCCGCUGACCUCGGCCGAGAGAGAGCUCCAGCAGAUCCGCAUUAACGAGGUGAAGACAGAGAUCAGUGUGGAAAGCAAGCACCAGACCCUGCAGGGCCUCGCCUUCCCCCUGCAGCCUGAGGCCCAGCGGGCACUCCAGCAGCUCAA